GACGAACGCUGGCGGCGUGCUUAACACAUGCAAGUCGAACGGUAAGGCCCUUCGGGGUACACGAGGGCGAACGGGUGAGUAACACGUGGGUGAUCUGCCCUGCACUUCGGGAUAAGCCUGGGAAACUGGGUCUAAUACCGGAUAGGACUCCGGACUGCAUGGUCUGGGGUGGAAAGCUUUUGCGGUUUUGGAUGGACUCGCGGCCUAUCAGCUUGUUGGUGAGGUAAUGGCUCACCAAGGCGACGACGGGUAGCCGGCCUGAGAGGGUGACCGGCCACACUGGGACUGAGACACUGCCCAGACUCCUACGGGAGGCAGCAGUGGGGAAUAUUGCACAAUGGGCGCAAGCCUGAUGCAGCGACGCCGCGUGAGGGAUGACGGCCUUCGGGUUGUAAACCUCUUUCAGUAGGGAAGAAGCGAAAGUGACGGUACCUGCAGAAGAAGCACCGGCUAACUACGUGCCAGCCGCCGCAGUAA
This 477-nucleotide ribosomal RNA is filed under the name uncultured bacterium. RNAcentral's name for it is "partial 16S ribosomal RNA". It matches the Rfam family "Bacterial small subunit ribosomal RNA", at positions 28 to 523 of the family's 1533-position model. The record is from RNAcentral.